AGAGAGAGAGAGAGAGAACAAGAGAGAGGUUAGUCGGAAAACGAUACACAGGUAAACAGGACAGGAAAAUCUGAUUUGCAGUAGCAAUCAGCUAUAACAUUAUGACCACCUGCCUAAUAUUGUGUAGGGCCCCUCCUCGCCGCCUCAUACACAACAAACUGCAAUGCACUGACAUCUUUCUAUCAGAACCAGCAUGAACUUUUUCAGCAACCUGAGCUACAGUAGGUCAUCUCUUCGAUCAGUUUAUCACUUCUUCCUUUCUUCUCUGACAGCUCACCCUCAUCAGGGUCGCAGGGGAGGUAUACCCUGGACAAGUCUAGACACAUAUAGACGAACAAACAUUCACGUUCACACCUACGGGCAAUUUAGAGUCACCAAUUAACCUAUUAAGUGCACGUGUUUGGACUGUGGGAGGAGGCCAGAGAACCCACGCAAACACAGGGACCCCCCCAGAAAGGACCCAGGGUUUGAACCAGGAACCUAACAACCUGCUAACUACUGCACCACAUGCCACCCUAACACAUCCACUAAAUGUUCACUUGCUGCCUAAUACAUCCCAAUAUAUUCAACUUUCAAUACCAAAUUGUCCUAGUUUCAUCACAAUUCUAAUAAUUAUUAUUCUAAUAUUAUUCUUGGUUCCCUGUCAUGCCAAAGUAAAAGCCUUUUGUACAAAAGCUCCAGGAGGCUUGCUCUUUUGUGAAACUACUGAGCAAUAAAAAUGGAAAGAAAAUGCAAAUCAAAAGGUUUGCAAGGAAAGUAUACUAAGCACUAAAAUAAUGACUCCCAUCCUGAUGAAAACACACAUGGUGUGUGCAUAAGUGCAUACAUGUACAGGUGCAUGAACAUGUGGUAUACUUUAAGGGUCCCAGUUUGGGGAGUUUAAAAAAUAUGGUCACCCCAAUUCAGCAGCUUAAGAGCCAGAUAUUUUCCUCAGACGAUGGUGGAUGCCACACUACCUGUGCUUAAAUUUGUCAGAGGGCCAGUAACUCUUAAACAAAUGCCAAUAUUUCUCAGUGUCUGCAACACUACAAGAGUACUAGACACUGAAGCUAGCUAGCUCUAAGUAAGUUAGAAGUUAAAAGUUUUAUUUUUUGUAUCAGUACACUUCUGCAUACAUUAUUAUAUGUACACUGCAGCUAUUUGUCACAAGCAAAAAAACAGAAGCGGUGUACAAAAUUUGUGUUUAAAGUUUGGUUGUAGCCAGUUUAGCUCAUAAGCUAAACCAACGCACUGUUGCCAUGGUUACCAACAUUUAACAUGCUUAGAAAGUCAGGUAGCAUUGAAGCUACAUUUGAGUCACAAGAUUUUACACCUGCCAGCCAGCCAAUCCAAACGUGUCAUGAAGUAGCGUCUAUGCUCUGUGAUACAGCACGUGUGUAAAUGAUCACAUAGCUCAGAGUGAGAAUGAACUGUGAAACUUUGGCAUUAACUUUAUGAAUACAUUAAAUUGAAAUGGCUAGUCUUUAGCCCACGGUCGGCAUUCAUUCGGUGUAGCAUAACGACCUUUCACUGAAGUUCAAUAAAUCUCCUCAAUUUUCAGCCCUGCUUUCCCGGUCAUGAAUUGCAAAUGAAGCCGGCUUUAACUCUAUUCUAUCAGAGGGUCAAAUUAACCAGCUACAUUAUCCAUUUGUCUAAUAGGAACGCCGCUGACAAAAAGAGGGGGAGCAUUUUGUUUGAUGCUUUUUCCAUUAGCAGUCAUUAGAUCAAAUGAGAUGAAAACAUCGCCCAGUGGCACCCUUAAAAAUGCAGCAUAUGCAGACACACACACACACAUUCACACACUUCCAUAAACCACAAUGAGAAUUCUAUCUACUUCAAUUAGAGGCGUCCAUGAUGGAAAUCCUCAAUUGGAUAAUUUAUAAGCCAACUAAGUUGCAGUGACACCGGGGUUGUGAUAACUAAUGAACAGAGCGGAGGGGGUUAGUCGGCCUGUGGAGGUGGUGGAGAC
Molecule: long non-coding RNA, 1948 nt
Organism: Larimichthys crocea (large yellow croaker)
Lineage: Eukaryota; Metazoa; Chordata; Actinopteri; Sciaenidae
Exons: 3
Source: RefSeq, a predicted model, not a curated record